UACAGAGGGUGCAAGCGUUAAUCGGAAUUACUGGGCGUAAAGCGUGCGCAGACGGUUGCGUAAGUCAGAUGUGAAAGCCCCGGGCUCAACCUGGGAAUUGCAUUUGAGACUGCGUAGCUAGGGUGCGGAAGAGGGAAGCGGAAUUUCCGGUGUAGCGGUGAAAUGCGUAGAUAUCGGAAGGAACACCAGUGGCGAAAGCGGCU
This 203-nucleotide ribosomal RNA is filed under the name uncultured bacterium. Its description in RNAcentral is "partial 16S ribosomal RNA". It matches the Rfam family "Bacterial small subunit ribosomal RNA", at positions 524 to 726 of the family's 1533-position model. The record is from RNAcentral.